This 2513-nucleotide long non-coding RNA is filed under the name Panicum hallii. RNAcentral's name for it is "long non-coding RNA (PHAL_LNC000275)". Lineage: Eukaryota; Viridiplantae; Streptophyta; Magnoliopsida; Poales; Poaceae. The record is from RNAcentral.
UCAAAAAAAAAAGAGCUUGCCCAGGAAAAGACAAGGCACCGAUCUUAUCAUAACCUCGAUGGCAAAUUUAUAAUCCCUGUUAAUCGGUUAACAAAUAGCAAUGCUACACGAAAAAUAUUUACGUGUACAUCUCCCGGACCGUACGGCUUCAUUCCCUGCUAGGCUGCUAGCAGCUCCAGCGACCAUGGCAUCCUCGUCCUUCCACCUCCACGGCUCCCCACCUCCUCCCCCCCGCCCAAGCCGGACCGGAGGUCCGGGGGUCUUGCGGCGCUCGGCGACGGGCGGAUGCCUUGGAUGAUCUAUCAGGGAUCACCGCGGAAUCGCAACCUGGAAUUUAGGAGAAGACGCACAAAGCGAGAUGAGAUAGGAAGGGCACCGGUGACUGAAACGAAGAUCAUUCGUACACUUCGACGACAAACUGACAUUGGAUCUAGCGUGGCAUAGCUACCGAUCUAACGCUGGUACCUUUACGAUGUAAACAAUGCGUUUGCCACAAUUCUGAACCGCAUUUGGAGUCGUGCAGGAAGCAGAUAGAACACAACAGUUCACCAUGGACACUGAACACUGUUCGCGCUCAGUUCAGCUGGUGGCGAGCGAGACACCAGCAGCACCACACACUAACGUCAAGCGACAUCACAAGGGAAACAGGAACCCAUGCUCUUUUCCUGACUGAGAAACGCAAACGAAGCUCGAGGUUUCAAAAGGCAGUCAAACAUGGUGAACGGGGCAGGCAGGGGCACUGCAGCAGUGCAGUACCGCUGCACUUUGCCUUUGCUGCGGUAUGAUUGCGAAUAUUGAUUGCACGGCAAAGGACCAAACCAAACAGGAAGGCCCGCCCAUAUAUAGGACAUGCAGAUCGUGCACAGGAGAAAAGGAAAAGGCGAUUGGUUGCCAUCAAGGCCGGAGCCGGCAUGGCCCACACGAAUCCUGGGCGUCCUGCGUCCACUCAUGCACACAAUUGAAUGGAUUUCAUGGACACUGUACAUCAGGAAGAAAUCAAGGCAAGGCACGCGUAUGGCGAAACAGCAGAGGGCGGUGCUCUGCUCCUACUCUUGUGUAAUGUUCAUUCAUCUCAGAAGAGAAAAAACUUGGGCAAUGUUUGGACAACAGAUACUCGGUCCCCGUCACGUUAAAAAGAAUCGUAUCAUUUAAAAAUAUUAAAUAAAAUUUGCUUAAAAAUUAUGGAUGCUAAUUCGUCUCGUGAAUUAGUUCAAAAAUUCUACAAUUAGUUUUAUAAUUAGAUUUUUUUAAUACUUCUAAAUGAUAAGAUUUUUUUUGACGUGGAACCGAAACACCCUCCAACCAAAGAGAAGAAAAGAUGCACAAACGGAGGCUAUUCUGGCCUGCAAAUGCACAACCUCCGGAUGAUCUUCUAAAUCGAGUACAGAGCAUGGAGAUGAAAUUAAGCGGUAAAACUCGCAAUCAAAGCUCUUUCAAGCUUCAAUCUCUAGCAACCAAAAACACUACUGAACUGAAACAAGAAUACUACUGCUAACCAAACAAUUUGCACUCGAUACUCAACUAUUCUCUUCGUUAAUAACCACAAAAGCGCUAAACAAAUACUGCUCCAAUACGGAACCAUGAAUCACCAAAAGGUUGCUGCCAUGAAUGCCUUUACAGUCUACAUACAGCAAAAUCUAUCCCCAAAAGUGGAGUUAUCGCACAGUAUGUAUUUUCGGUAACUAAUCAAAGGAGGCCAAAUGAGCUAAUGCAUCCCUACACAAAAAGGAGUUGGCUAAUUCAAUAUCAAGCUCUUACUCACUUAGCAUUUUUUUUCCUAAACAACAAGGGAGCUGGCUACUCUAGUCGUGCAUCUCCUACCUUGGUCGACACAGCGCAUGAAAGAAACCUGACUGUUUUUUUUUUCUUUUUGAAAGACGAGAAAUCAGACUGUAAUCUAUUGCAAGCCAGAAGCCACAUCAUCACAAAAAAGAUGCAAUGGAGUCUACUACACGCAAGUAUGAAACUGCAAACCGUACCGUUGCUCUAAAGAAUCUCACAAGCAAACAUCUAUAUCGUUCAUUCCUUCCCCCUUCACCCUUUACGCCAUGACCAAUGAGCGAACUGGAAUAGCAUAACAGAAGCAGGAGCAACAGGAUAGCACUGCAAUGUCUGUGGACUGACCUGCUGCUCAUCCUGCACUCGCCGAGGCCAUGGAUGUCCGGGGCCAGCUCGGCGUCCUCGCCUCCAGCGACCGGCCGCGCCAUUGCCGUCUCUCCGCGUCGCGGCACUAGCACUGGGCUUGCGAGCGAGGAGAGGCGGAGGAGCAAGCGAACUGGGAGCAGAACCGGCAGAAGGAAAAUGCGUGCGCCUUCCGGAGGAGGAAGCAGAGGAAGGAGACGAGCGGGGAGAGACUUUGCGAGAGCGAGGAGGCCGUGUCCUGUCUGUGUGUGCCGUUGUACUAGUACUGGUAGCUUUGUGUGCAAGGAGCCAAAGGAACGGAAGGCAGCAAUGGCUGUCAGCUAUUAUUUCUGCUUUUCCGGACUCCGGCCUGCGCCUGCGCAGUAGUCUCG